UACGAAGGGGGCUAGCGUUGCUCGGAAUUACUGGGCGUAAAGCGCACGUAGGCGGCUCUUUAAGUCGGGGGUGAAAUCCUGGAGCUCAACUCCAGAACUGCCUUCGAUACUGAAGAGCUCGAGUCCGGGAGAGGUGAGUGGAACUGCGAGUGUAGAGGUGAAAUUCGUAGAUAUUGCAAGAACACCAGUGGCGAAGGCGGCUCACUGGCCCGGUACUGACGCUGAGGUGCGAAAGCGUGGGGAGCAAACAGG
This 252-nucleotide ribosomal RNA is filed under the name uncultured bacterium. Its description in RNAcentral is "partial 16S ribosomal RNA". It matches the Rfam family "Bacterial small subunit ribosomal RNA", at positions 524 to 776 of the family's 1533-position model. The record is from RNAcentral.